GAUGAACGCUGGCGGCGUGCCUAAUACAUGCAAGUCGAGCGAACGGACGAGAAGCUUUCUUCUCUGAUGUUAGCGGCGGACGGGUGAGUAACACGUGGAUAACCUACCUAUAAGACUGGGAUAACUUCGGGAAACCGGAGCUAAUACCGGAUAAUAUUUUGAACCGCAUGGUUCAAAAGUGAAAGACGGUCUUGCUGUCACUUAUAGAUGGAUCCGCGCUGCAUUAGCUAGUUGGUAAGGUAACGGCUUACCAAGGCAACGAUGCAUAGCCGACCUGAGAGGGUGAUCAGCCACCCUGGAACUGAGACACGGUCCAGACUCCUACGGGAGGCAGCAGUAGGGAAUCUUCCGCAAUGGGCGAAAGCCUGACGGAGCAACGCCGCGUGAGUGAUGAAGGUCUUCGGAUCGUAAAACUCUGUUAUUAGGGAAGAACAUAUGUGUAAGUAACUGUGCACAUCUUGACGGUACCUAAUCAGAAAGCCACGGCUAACUACGUG
Molecule: ribosomal RNA, 497 nt
Filed under: uncultured bacterium
Lineage: Bacteria
Description: partial 16S ribosomal RNA
Rfam family: Bacterial small subunit ribosomal RNA
Source: RNAcentral